AUACGUAGGGUGCAAGCGUUAAUCGGAAUUACUGGGCGUAAAGCGUGCGCAGGCGGUUUUGUAAGACAGUCGUGAAAUCCCCCGGCUCACCCUGGGAAUUGCGAUUGUGACUGCAAAGCUGGAGUGGGGCAGAGGGGGAUGGAAUUCCGCGUGUAGCAGGGAAAUGCGUACAUAUGCGGAGGAACACCGAUGGCCAAGGCAGUCCCCUGGGCCUGCAGUGAUGCUCAAGCACGAUAGCGUGGGGAGGAAACAUGAUUAGAUACCCUGGUAGUCCACUCACUAAAGGAUGUCAACGGGUUAUUGGGUCUCUUGUGACUCAGUACCGAAGCUACAGCGUGAAGUGGACCCGCUGGGGAGUACGGCCGCAAGGUUGCAGCUCAAAUGAAAUGACGGGG
RNAcentral lists this ribosomal RNA (395 nucleotides) under uncultured bacterium. RNAcentral describes it as "partial 16S ribosomal RNA". It matches the Rfam family "Bacterial small subunit ribosomal RNA", at positions 523 to 918 of the family's 1533-position model. The record is from RNAcentral.